UACGGAGGAUGCAAGCGUUAUCCGGAAUUAUUGGGCGUAAAGCGUCCGCAGGUGGUAAUUCAAGUCUGCUGUCAAAGACCGAAGCUUAACUUCGGAAAGGCAGUGGAAACUGAAUAACUAGAGUACGGUAGGGGUAGAGGGAAUUUCCAGUGUAGCGGUGAAAUGCGUAGAGAUUGGAAAGAACACCAGUGGCGAAGGCGCUCUACUGGACCUGUACUGACACUGAGGGACGAAAGCUAGGGGAGCGAAAGGG
RNAcentral lists this ribosomal RNA (253 nucleotides) under uncultured bacterium. RNAcentral describes it as "partial 16S ribosomal RNA". It matches the Rfam family "Bacterial small subunit ribosomal RNA", at positions 524 to 776 of the family's 1533-position model. The record is from RNAcentral.